This 301-nucleotide ribosomal RNA is filed under the name uncultured bacterium. RNAcentral's name for it is "partial 16S ribosomal RNA". It matches the Rfam family "Bacterial small subunit ribosomal RNA", at positions 509 to 807 of the family's 1533-position model. The record is from RNAcentral.
CAGUCGCCGCGGGAAUACGUAGGUGGCAAGCGUUGUCCGGAAUUAUUGGGCGUAAAGGGCUCGCAGGCCGUUUCUUAAGUCUGAUGUGAAAGCCCCCGGCUCAACCGGGGAGGGUCAUUGGAAACUGGGAAACUUGAGUGCAGAAGAGGAGAGUGGAAUUCCACGUGUAGCGGUGAAAUGCGUAGAGAUGUGGAGGAACACCAGUGGCGAAGGCGACUCUCUGGUCUGUAACUGACGCUGAGGAGCGAAAGCGUGGGGAGCGAACAGGAUUAGAUACCCCAGUAGUCCCUGUCUCUUAUAC